RNAcentral lists this long non-coding RNA (575 nucleotides) under Homo sapiens (human). Its description in RNAcentral is "HSALNT0158734". Lineage: Eukaryota; Metazoa; Chordata; Mammalia; Primates; Hominidae. The record is from RNAcentral.
UUGGAAAUAGGGUCAUUGAAGAUGUAAUUAGUUAGUAUGAGGUCAUACUUCACGGAUGAGGGUGGGACCCUAAUCCAGUAUGACUGGUGUCCUUAUUAAAGGAAGCAAUUUGAACACAAAGACAGACUCACACAGGAAGAACAACACGUGAAGGUAAGUCAGGGAUUGGAGCAAUGAUUCUAUAAGCCAAGGGACACCAAAAAUGGCCGGCAAAUAACCAGAGUUAGGAGAGAGGCAUGAAACAGAUUGCCCCUCACAGCCUCAGAAGCAACCAAUCCCACUGACUCCUUGAUCUUUGACUUGUAGCCUCCAGAACCGUGAGACAAUAUAUUUCUUUUCUUUAAGUGUCCCUGUCUGUGGUACUUUGUGAUGGCAGCCCUAGCAGUCUACGAAAUCUAAUAUAAAUUUUAACCAGAGGAGGCCCAUUCCCUUUCCUUUCAGAAAGAAAAUAAUAUUUUAUGUAUCCUACAUGAUUAUUGUCAGCCCUUUCCUUAUAUAUCUGCAUAUAUAGAAAAAUCAUAUAGAGAGAGCCCAUAAGACAGAAUAGUACCUUAUAUAAAGACUUUGUUCAUGCC